UACGUAGGGGGCAAGCGUUAUCCGGAUUUACUGGGUGUAAAGGGAGCGUAGACGGCCAGACAAGUCUGAAGUGAAAAUCCAGCGCUUAACGUUGGAAGUGCUUUGGAAACUGCCGGGCUGGAGUGCAGGAGGGGCAGGCGGAAUUCCUAGUGUAGCGGCGAAAUGCGUAGAUAUUAGGAGGAACACCAGUGGCGAAGGCGGCCUGCUGGACUGCAACUGACGUUGAGGCUCGAAGGCGUGGGGAGCAAACAGG
Molecule: ribosomal RNA, 253 nt
Filed under: uncultured bacterium
Lineage: Bacteria
Description: partial 16S ribosomal RNA
Rfam family: Bacterial small subunit ribosomal RNA
Source: RNAcentral